Molecule: long non-coding RNA, 419 nt
Organism: Esox lucius (northern pike)
Lineage: Eukaryota; Metazoa; Chordata; Actinopteri; Esociformes; Esocidae
Source: Ensembl
CAAAGGUGAAGGAACCAUCUGUCUGAUGAAUGACCAACAGAUUCAGAGCAUCGAACCAUACAUCCUGCUGGCUGGCUUCUGACACUACUAAGCCUGUUUGGUGUUGUUCGGCCCAAGGAUGGGAGAACCAAUGCUGUGGGAAGCAGUGUGGGAGGACCAGCUAGGGGCACUCGUUUUCAGUGUAAAUCAAAGGAGGAUCUCCUGCCUCAGACUGAGCAGGAGUCUGAUGAGAGAAAGAAUGUCAAGGCGAUGAAGACACUACUUGCGAGGAUGUCAGAGAGCAUACAAUGUGUGUCCGAGUCCAGCCUGGAGCUCAUCAUGCAUGCAGUUGACCGUUUUGUCAGAAUGCACGGGCCUGCGCCUCUAGUAUCAACCAAGAGGAUGAGCAAUGAUGUUCAGAUUUGCAAGAGGGCCAAAAA